Molecule: ribosomal RNA, 253 nt
Filed under: uncultured bacterium
Lineage: Bacteria
Description: partial 16S ribosomal RNA
Rfam family: Bacterial small subunit ribosomal RNA
Source: RNAcentral
UACGUAGGCAGCAAGCGUUGUUCGGAGUUACUGGGCGUAAAGGGUGUGUAGGCGGUUUUUUAAGUUUGGUGUGAAAUCUCCCGGCUCAACUGGGAGGGUGCGCCGAAUACUGAAAGACUAGAGUGCGGGAGAGGAAAGUGGAAUUCCUGGUGCAGCGGUGAAAUGCGUAGAUAUCGGGAGGAACACCAGUGGCGAAGGCGGCUCUCUGGACCUCUGCUGACGCUGAGGCGCGAAAGCGUGGGGAGCGAUCCGG